GAGCAUUUAACAUGCAUCAUGGUCUCAGGUCAAGAGUAUAUUCAAUAGUUGACAGUGAUGUGGCCUCUAGCUUUCCAGAAAGAGGAAGUCACUGUCCAUCAUACAGUGCUUUAAUUUGAGAGGCUGAACUGAUGUCUGUGGAGAAAAGAACACGAAGGAAUAAUGUAAUAUGAAACUCCCUAACAUGAUACAUAUACAAAGACUAUUGAGAAAUCAAUGUGGAAAAUGCAAAACUAAGGGAGAAAGCAUUUUGAACCACUCAUCUAAGAAUAUGGUCAGUAUUAAAAAGACAAGAAUAUCAGAAAAAUCUCCCAAGUUAUGUUCAUAGGCUUAGCAGAAUAAAGGUAAGGCUUACUAGUUAAAUGAAUGAGAGAGGAGAAUUUUUUCUAAAUCUUAGAAAAUGUUCAGGCUCUCCCAUCUUUCUCCACACCCCUCAUGAGCAUCUCUGUAAAAACUGCCAUCAGGACCAAAGACAGCAGCUCUCAGUUUAACGUAGGUGCCAGUGACCAAACUACCGCUCAAGGAAAUAAGAGAGGAUACAAACAAAUGGAAAAACAUUCCAUGCUCAUGGAUAGGAAGAAUCAAUAUCGUGAAAAUGGCCAUACUGUCCAAAGUAAUUUAUAGAUUCAAUGCUAUUCCCAUAAAGCUACCAUUGACUUUCUUGAUAGAAUUAGAAAAAACCACUUUAAAUUUCAUAUGGAACCAAAAAAGAGCCUGUAUACCAAAGACAAUCCUAAGCAAAAAGAACAAAACAUCACGCUACCUGACUUCAAACUAUACUACAAGGCUACGGUAACCAAAACAGCACGGUACUGGUACCCAAACUGAUAUAUAGACCAAUGGGACAGAACAGAGGCCUCAGAAAUAACACCACACAUCUACAACCAUCUGAUCUUUGACAAACCUGACAAACACAAGCAAUGGGAAAAGAAUACCCUAUUUGAUAAAUGCUGUUGGGAAAACUGGUUAACCGUAUACAGAAAACUGAAACUGGACCCUUUCCUUACACCUUAUACAAAAAUUAACUCAAGAUGGAUUAAAGAUUUAAAUAUAAGACCUAAAAUCAUAAAAAUCCUUUGUAUCCCAAGUGCUCAGCACACAGUCUCUGACACUAAACAUUUGUUGAACUAAUUAAAUAGAGGAAAGAGAAUUAAAAUGCCAUGGUGAAAAAGAAGCAGCAUCUCUGCUGUCUACCCAACAGUGAUCUGUAUCUGUUUCUCACUUCUGCAUCUUAUGAAGUCAUAAAAUUAAAAGUUUUGGGAACCCUGUAUGAGAGUAAGGUAGGAAGAUAAAUAAGAAAAGUGUGAUCACAAAGUGUAAUCACUUUAUAUUACUGGUGCUUAACAGUUAGAAUUAACAUUCUCUUUUAUGCUAAUUGUGAUGUUUUCCAUUUUAUAUGUGUACAUAAUUUGUUUAGCUGUUUCUCAGAUUAUUGUACCAGUCUCUUAGCCAAGGGUCUUGCUUCUGGUCUCACCACUUCAUCAUUACACCUCCUCCUAAUUCAUUCUUUGCCUUACAGUUUGUUAUAUUUCAAAAGUGCAAAUUCUAUUACGUUACUUGCAUGAAUAAAACUCUUUAUUGGUUAACAAUUGGUCUCAGGAUACAGUGCUAGCUCCUUGGCAGAGCACCUGAGAGUCUCGUGAAAUCAUUUGUGAAAUAAAAAAUGCCAAAACAAAAAAGUUAAAGAAAAAGUGCCAAAACAAAAAAGCUAGAGAAAAUCUAGCCCUUGAUCAUAACAUGUUGCCAUUUUUUAACAAUAGCUUGACAAUGUUAUAACAGCUUAUGAAACAUUUUUUUCAAAAACAUGACCAAUAGCUUCAUACUCCAUCUAUCACCUUUACCAAAAUAUAACUGAAGUUUAUCCUUAAUUUUUUUCAUAAAGGGGAUUAUUUUACCUGAAUUCCUACUAGAUACAAAUUUAGUGAAAAUGUGUAUCAUAAGUUAGUGCAUUCAUAUUCAAUUCAGGCAUUGUCUCUUCUACAAGACCAGGCAGUUGAAGUCUGGGCUAUGUAUCCCUCCUCUUCAUAUCAUAGGGCCCUGCAACUAUUUAUAAUAAUACAUUUAUCUCAUUAUAUCAAAUUAUUGUUUUAGGUGUCUGCCCUCUAGUCCUAUGUGCAACUUAAGGAAAAGUGCAAAGAACUUUAUUUUCAAUCAUUCUCUAUGCUCUCAAAAUGUGCUGCUUGAUGGGAGACAUAACUAUGAUUAAGACAUUAUUCCUUACCUCAAAAAGUUAAAUCUUAAAUUGUGAGAGAGAGAAGAAGAAACUUAUAAUACUGUAUCAUGAGAGAGUAGGCUCUGAUGUUAGUGCUGCCGCUUCUAUAACACUGGGAAAAUUAAUUAAAUGUAGCUGAAAAUGCAAUGACAGUGAUAAUACCUACUUCAAAGAAUUGUUUUAAUGAUUAAAUGAUGAUGAUGAUGAUGAAAAGUUGUUCUUGCCUAUAGUAAGUGCUAAAUAAAUAUGACAAUCUGAACAAAGCUAUAAUAAAAUACUGGUGGUGUGUGCACAAACACUGACAAAACAAAUAAGGAGAGGUGCAUAGAUUUAUUAUAUUUUAACCUAAAACUUAACUGAGAAAGAUAUAAAGGUAUGAUACAUGUUCUAGUGAAUUGUGAAAUAAAUCAUUUUAUUUACCAAGAGAUGGUACUUGAUUAAGCCAAUGUGAACUGAAGCAAUGUAGGAAGAAAGUAAUGGAAGACUUCCCAAAGGAAAUGGUAUCUCGGUUGAGACAGGAAAGAUGAGUAAGCAUUAACUACACAAAGAGGGGCA
This 2767-nucleotide long non-coding RNA is filed under the name Homo sapiens (human). RNAcentral's name for it is "HSALNT0213791". The record is from RNAcentral. Lineage: Eukaryota; Metazoa; Chordata; Mammalia; Primates; Hominidae.